GGGGAAUAUUGCACAAUGGGCGAAAGCCUGAUGCAGCGACGCCGCGUGAGUGAAGAAGUAUUUCGGUAUGUAAAGCUCUAUCAGCAGGGAAGAAAAUGACGGUACCUGACUAAGAAGCCCCGGCUAACUACGUGCCAGCAGCCGCGGUAAUACGUAGGGGGCAAGCGUUAUCCGGAUUUACUGGGUGUAAAGGGAGCGUAGACGGUAAAGCAAGUCUGAAGUGAAAGCCCGCGGCUCAACUGCGGGACUGCUUUGGAAACUGUUUAACUGGAGUGUCGGAGAGGUAAGUGGAAUUCCUAGUGUAGCGGUGAAAUGCGUAGAUAUUAGGAGGAACACCAGUGGCGAAGGCGACUUACUGGACGAUAACUGACGUUGAGGCUCGAAAGCGUGGGGAGCAAACAGGA
Molecule: ribosomal RNA, 404 nt
Filed under: uncultured bacterium
Lineage: Bacteria
Description: bacterial SSU rRNA
Rfam family: Bacterial small subunit ribosomal RNA
Source: RNAcentral